AAUGCCAUCUGUGUUGGAGCCUG
RNAcentral lists this non-coding RNA (23 nucleotides) under Rattus norvegicus (Norway rat). The record is from RNAcentral. Lineage: Eukaryota; Metazoa; Chordata; Mammalia; Rodentia; Muridae.